UACGGAGGAUGCGAGCGUUAUCCGGAUUUAUUGGGUUUAAAGGGUGCGUAGGCGGGAGAUUAAGUCGGUGGUGAAAUUUUGCAGCUCAACUGUAAAAGUGCCAUUGAUACUGGUUUCCUUGAGUGUGGAUGAAGUAGGCGGAAUUUGUGGUGUAGCGGUGAAAUGCAUAGAUAUCACGAGGAACUCCGAUUGCGCAGGCAGCUUACUAAACCAUAACUGACGCUCAGGCACGAAGGCGUGGGGAUCAAACAGGAUUAGAUA
RNAcentral lists this ribosomal RNA (261 nucleotides) under uncultured prokaryote. Its description in RNAcentral is "partial 16S ribosomal RNA". It matches the Rfam family "Bacterial small subunit ribosomal RNA", at positions 524 to 784 of the family's 1533-position model. The record is from RNAcentral.